Molecule: ribosomal RNA, 252 nt
Filed under: uncultured bacterium
Lineage: Bacteria
Description: partial 16S ribosomal RNA
Rfam family: Bacterial small subunit ribosomal RNA
Source: RNAcentral
UACGGAGGAUGCGAGCGUUAUCCGGAUUUAUUGGGUUUAAAGGGUGCGUAGGCGGGCUUUUAAGUCAGCGGUAAAAAUUCGGGGCUCAACCCCGUCCGGCCGUUGAAACUGGGGGCCUUGAGUGGGCGAGAAGAAGGCGGAAUGCGUGGUGUAGCGGUGAAAUGCAUAGAUAUCACGCAGAACCCCGAUUGUGAAGGCAGCCUUCCGGCGCCCUACUGACGCUGAGGCACGAAAGUGCGGGGAGCGAACAGG